Molecule: ribosomal RNA, 494 nt
Filed under: uncultured bacterium
Lineage: Bacteria
Description: partial 16S ribosomal RNA
Rfam family: Bacterial small subunit ribosomal RNA
Source: RNAcentral
GACGAACGCUGGCGGCGUGCUUAACACAUGCCAGUCGAACGGUGAAGCGCCUUCCUUUUUGGUGGGUGUGGAUGAGUGGCGAACGGGUGAGUAACACGUGAGUAACCUGCCCCCUUCUUCUGGAUAACCGCAUGAAAGUGUGGCUAAUACGGGAUAUUCUGGGUCUGUCGCAUGAUGGGUCUGGGAAAGAUAUUGUUUCGGUGGGGGAUGGGCUCGCGGCCUAUCAGCUUAUUGGUGGGGUGAUGGCCUACCAAGGCGGUGACGGGUAGCCGGCCUGAGAGGGUGGACGGGAACACGGGGAAGGAGACACGGCCCAGACUCCUACGGGAGGCAGCAGUGGGGAAUAGUGCACAAUGGGCGCAAGCCUGAUGCAGCGACGCCGCGUGAGGGAUGGAGGCCUUCGGGUUGUGAACCUCUUUCGCCAGUGAAGCAGGCCUGCCUCGUUUGUGGGUGGGUUGACGGUAGCUGGAUAAGAAGCGCCGGCUAACUACGUG